This 697-nucleotide ribosomal RNA is filed under the name Streptomyces sp. B1O27. Its description in RNAcentral is "bacterial SSU rRNA". It matches the Rfam family "Bacterial small subunit ribosomal RNA", at positions 110 to 821 of the family's 1533-position model. Lineage: Bacteria; Bacillati; Actinomycetota; Actinomycetes; Kitasatosporales; Streptomycetaceae. The record is from RNAcentral.
GUAACACGUGGGCAAUCUGCCCUUCACUCUGGGACAAGCCCUGGAAACGGGGUCUAAUACCGGAUAAUACUUCCACUCUCCUGAGUGGUGGUUGAAAGCUCCGGCGGUGAAGGAUGAGCCCGCGGCCUAUCAGCUUGUUGGUGAGGUAAUGGCUCACCAAGGCGACGACGGGUAGCCGGCCUGAGAGGGCGACCGGCCACACUGGGACUGAGACACGGCCCAGACUCCUACGGGAGGCAGCAGUGGGGAAUAUUGCACAAUGGGCGAAAGCCUGAUGCAGCGACGCCGCGUGAGGGAUGACGGCCUUCGGGUUGUAAACCUCUUUCAGCAGGGAAGAAGCGAAAGUGACGGUACCUGCAGAAGAAGCGCCGGCUAACUACGUGCCAGCAGCCGCGGUAAUACGUAGGGCGCAAGCGUUGUCCGGAAUUAUUGGGCGUAAAGAGCUCGUAGGCGGCUUGUCACGUCGGGUGUGAAAGCCCGGGGCUUAACCCCGGGUCUGCAUUCGAUACGGGCUAGCUAGAGUGUGGUAGGGGAGAUCGGAAUUCCUGGUGUAGCGGUGAAAUGCGCAGAUAUCAGGAGGAACACCGGUGGCGAAGGCGGAUCUCUGGGCCAUUACUGACGCUGAGGAGCGAAAGCGUGGGGAGCGAACAGGAUUAGAUACCCUGGUAGUCCACGCCGUAAACGGUGGGAACUAGGU